GAGCUCAAAUUUGAAAGCUGGCUCCUUCGGGGUCCGCAUUGUAAUUUGCAGAGGAUGCUUCGGGAGCGGUCCCCAUCUAAGUUCCCUGGAACGGGACGUCAUAGAGGGUGAAAAUCCCGUAUGGGAUGGGGUGUCCGCGCCCGUGUGAAGCUCCUUCGACGAGUCGAGUUGUUUGGGAAUGCAGCUCUAAAUGGGUGGUAAAUUUCAUCUAAAGCUAAAUAUUGGCCGGAGACCGAUAGCGCACAAGUAGAGUGAUCGAAAGAUGAAAAGCACUUUGAAAAGAGAGUUAAAAAGCACGUGAAAUUGUUGAAAGGGAAGCGCUUGCGACCAGACUCGCUCGCGGGGUUCAGCCGGCAUUCGUGCCGGUGUACUUCCCCGCGGGCGGGCCAACGUCGGUUUGGGCGGUCGGUCAAAGGCCCUCGGAAGGUAACGCCCCCCGGGGUGUCUUAUAGCCGAGGGUGCAAUGCGACCUGCCUAGACCGAGGAACGCGCUUCGGCUCGGACGUUGGCAUAAUGGUCGUAAGCGACCCGUCUUGAAACACGGACCAAGGAGUCUAACAUCUACGCGAGUGUUCGGGUGUCAAACCCGUGCGCGCAGUGAAAGCGAACGGAGGUGGGAACCCUUUGGGUGCACCAUCGACCGAUCCUGAUGUCUUCGGAUGGAUUUGAGUAAGAGCGUAGCUGUUGGGACCCGAAAGAUGGUGAACUAUGCCUGAAUA
RNAcentral lists this ribosomal RNA (719 nucleotides) under Penicillium canescens. RNAcentral describes it as "LSU rRNA". It matches the Rfam family "Eukaryotic large subunit ribosomal RNA", at positions 104 to 843 of the family's 3401-position model. Lineage: Eukaryota; Fungi; Ascomycota; Eurotiomycetes; Eurotiales; Aspergillaceae. The record is from RNAcentral.